GUGCCAGCAGCCGCGGUAAUACGUAGGGUGCGAGCGUUGUCCGGAAUUAUUGGGCGUAAAGAGCUCGUAGGCGGUGUGUCGCGUCGGCCGUGAAAACCUGGGGCUUAACUCUGGGCGUGCGGUCGAUACGGGCAUCACUAGAGUUCGGCAGGGGAGACUGGAAUUCCUGGUGUAGCGGUGAAAUGCGCAGAUAUCAGGAGGAACACCGGUGGCGAAGGCGGGUCUCUGGGCCGAUACUGACGCUGAGGAGCGAAAGCAUGGGUAGCGAACAGGAUUAGAUACCCUGGUAGUCC
Molecule: ribosomal RNA, 293 nt
Filed under: uncultured microorganism
Description: partial 16S ribosomal RNA
Rfam family: Bacterial small subunit ribosomal RNA
Source: RNAcentral